GGAGGUCACCCCACUUCCCUACUCCAGAAUGUUAUUAAGGUGUAAUAUUCAUGAAACACUUUGUCUUUUAGGUCAGAAAUGUUUUCAAUAUGACAGCAGAAGAGGGAAGGAAGAAAUCAGUCCGCGUCCUGGUCGCUGUGGGGAACGGCCGAGGAGCCGCAGGUUUUGCCAUUGGGAAAGCCACUCAACGGGUGGAUGCUUUCAGAAAAGCAGAGAACAAAGCAGUUCACUAUC
Ceratotherium simum simum (southern white rhinoceros) is the source of this 234-nucleotide non-coding RNA. The record is from RefSeq and is a predicted model, not a curated record. Lineage: Eukaryota; Metazoa; Chordata; Mammalia; Perissodactyla; Rhinocerotidae.